GUUAGGGUUCGUGGAUGGGAGAGGAUCCCAAAGCAGACAACGGGACGACAGGCUGUGAGAACAAAAAUGGUCUUGUUUAUUAUUCGGGCGUUGCUGGUGAGAUCCAGACCAACGUGAGGCAGGAAAAGCUCGUGGGGGGGAAUCAGGCGUGGAGAUCCGACAAGGGGCGUGCACAAACAGGUCCUGGGACAGAAGCAAAAAUCGUGAGCCGAGAACAGUAGUCAAAAAUGUAAGUAAGGCGGGAUACAACUGACAGUGGAACUAGACGAGUUGAUCUGGCGACGAGGUGAGGCGUCCACUGGCUUUUUCAAGGCUGCUGAUUGUGAUAGCCUGCACCUGUGGCCGCUCCACCCGUCUGGCAUCCAACCUGUAAUCAGAAAAACUCAUGCACGCCUGCCUAAAGUGGGCCAGGUUUCAGGAGGGAGGGGCAGAGGCCCUAACAGGACCCCCCCGCCUACGGGCGCCACCUGGCGCCCGACGAAGACGACCGGGAUGGGUGCGGUGGAAAUCCCGGAUCAGCUCACGGGACAACACCCACCGGGCCGGGACCCAGGACCGCUCUUCCGGGCCAUAGCCCUCCCAGUCCACCAAGUAUUGGACCCCACGGCCACGGCGGCGGACGUCCAAAAGCCGCUCCACUCUAUAAGCUGGCCCCCCGUCGACCGACAGUGGCGGCGGCGGAGGCUGAACAGGGGGGGACAAGGCACUCAAGGCGACGGGCUUUACUUGUGAGACAUGGAAGGUAGGGUGGAUACGGAAAUGGGCAGGAAGCUUGAGGCGCACUGCAGCCGGAUUCACCACCCUCUCGAUCUCAUAGGGACCGAUAAACCGGGGGGAGAGCUUCCUCGACUCAGUCCUCAGCGGCAGGGACUUGGACGACAGCCACACCUUCUGGCCUACCGCAUAGACUGGCGCAGGCGUGCGGCGGCGGUCCGACUGGGCACGGGACUUUUCGGAGGAACGUAGGAGUGCAGAGCGUGCCUGCUCCCAGACUUUGGCGCAACGACUCACGUGCCUCUGGACAGACGGGACUGCAAUGUCUUGCUCUUGUGAAGGAAACAAAGGGGGUUGGUAGCCCAAGGAACAAAGGAAUGGGGACAUACCUGAGGAGGCGUUCGGCAGGGAGUUGUGAGCGUAUUCAACCCAAGGGAGUUGGUCGCACCAGGUGUUAGGAUGGGCCUGGGUGGUACAGCGGAGGGCAGUUUCGAGCUGCUGGUUGGUACGCUCACACUGGCCGUUGGUUUGCGGAUGGUACCCUGAAGAUAGACUCACACCAACGCCCAGAGCUGCACAGAAAGCCUUCCAUACUUGCGAGGUGAACUGCGGCCCUCUGUCAGAGACAAUGUCUACCGGAAUGCCAUGCAGGCGGAGCACAUGGUUGGUGAGCAGGUCUGCAGUUUCCUUGGCUGAGGGGAUCUUGCGAAGGGGGAUGAAAUGGGCCGCUUUGGAGAAUCGGUCAACCACGGUGAGGAUGACUGUGUUGCCCCUGGAAGGCGGGAGACCGGUGACGAAAUCCAGGGCAAUGUGUGACCAUGGACGACUCGGAAUGGGUAAGGGGUGGAGGAGUCCGGAGCUGGGCUUCGUCGAUGUCUUGCUACGGGCGCAAACAUUACAGGCAAGGACAAAAGAUCGGGUAUCCUCUGACAUAGAGGGCCACCAGAACCGUUGGCGCAGUACGGUCAGUGUCCUUCUGAUGCCGGGGUGGCAGAAUAGGCGGGACGCGUGUGCCCACUCCAGUACCUUGGAACGCAUGGACUCGGGAACAAAGAGGUCGGAUUGAUGGCCCUCUCUGGGGUCUGGGUGGUCACGAAGGGCUUCCUUCACCUUCCCCUCAAUCUCCCACUCCAUCGAGGCUAGGAAGCAGGUCUGUGGGAGAAUGGGCGCUGGCUCCCCAGGUGGUUCAAUGGCCUGGAACUGCCGGGACAGGGCGUCUGGCUUGGUAUUUUUUGAACCUGGGAUGUAAGACAUUGAGAAGUUAAAUCGGCAGAAAAACAUGGCCCACCUGGCUUGUCUCGGGUUGAGUCUCCGGGCUGACUUCAGGUAUUCCAGGUUCUUGUGAUCAGUUAGGACAAGGAAAGGCUGUGAUGUUCCCUCCAGAUGGUGGCGCCAUUCUUCCAAAGCUAACUUAACUGCCAAGAGUUCUCUGUCCCCAAUGCUGUAGUUGCGCUCCGCAGGAGACAGCCUGCGGGAGAAGAAAGCACAUGGGUGUACCUUGCCGUCAGUGGGCCGCCGUUGUGACAACACGGCACCCACGCCGGUCUCAGAAGCAUCCACCUCCACAAUGAAUUGGAGAGAUGGGAUAGGAGGAGCCAGUAUAGGCGCAGAGGUGAAGCGGGCCUUGAGGUCGCUGAAGGCGGAACUGGCAUUGUCAGACCAACGGAACUGUGUAGUGGUGGAGGUGAGGGCUGUGAGAGGGGCCGCAAUUCUGCUGUAGUUACGUAUGAACCUCCUGUAGAAGUUGGCGAACCCAAGAAAGCGCUGGAGCUGCUUUCUGUCGGAGGGGCGUGGCCAUUCCAGGACUGCCUUGACUUUCGCUGGGUCCAUGCGCAACUGGCCCUUGCCAACGAUGUAGCCGAGAAAAGCGGUCUCGUCGACGUGAAACUCGCAUUUCUCGGCUUUCACGAAGAGCCUGUUCUCGAGGAGACGCUGGAGGACCUGACGGACAUGAACUUCGUGUUCGGUGGGGGUGUGGGAGAACACCAGGAUGUCAUCAAGGUAGACCACCACGAAACGGUUAAUGAAGUCCCCUAAGACAUCGUUUACUAGAUGCUGAAAAACCGCAGGGGCGUUUGUGAGGCCAAAAGGCAUAACCAAAUAUUCAUAAUGCCCCAGGGGCGUAUUAAAUGCGGUUUUCCACUCGUCACCCUCUCUGAUGCGGACGAGAUGAUAUGCGCUGCGCAGAUCGAGCUUAGUGAAAACUGUUGCACUGUGGAGGGGGGUGAACGCAGAGUCCAUGAGAGGCAGAGGGUACUUAUUUUUUAUUGUGAUGUCAUUUAGGGCUCGGUAGUCGAUGCAGGGCCGCAGGCCGCCAUCCUUCUUGCCUAUGAAGAAGAAGCCAGCGCCGACAGGCGAGGAGGAGGGACGGAUGGUGCCUGUGGCCAGGGAUUCGGAGAUGUACUUCUCCAACGCCUCCCUCUCUGGUUGCGAGAUGUUGAAUAGCCGACCCUUGGGAAGAGCAGCUCCAGGAAGAAGGUCGAUGGCGCAGUCGUAAGGGCGAUGAGGCGGGAGCGACAUUGCACGAUCCUUACUAAAAACCUGCCAGAGAUCGUGGUAGCAUUUCGGGACAGUGGACAGGUCGGGUUGCUCCAGCUUCUUGGCAGGACAGGACGGCACUAGAGCAGAUCUGAGACAGUUAACGUGGCAGAACGGACUCCAUGAGGUUAACUUGGGGAGGGUCCAGUCUAUGGUGGGAUUAUGUUUCUUGAGCCAAGGUAACCCCAGGACCAAGGGUGUACGGGGACUCACAAAGACAAGGAAAGUGCUCACUUCUUGGUGGUUGCCUGACAGGAGCAGCUUGAUGGGCUCGGUUUUCCGAUCCACGCUGAAAAGGAGUUUCCCAUCAAGUGCCGUGGUCCUCAAGGGCACAGGGAGCGGGUGCGUCGUCAGUCUUAGUUGGGUCACGAGCUCGUGGUCGAUAAAGUUCUCGUCCGACCCGCAAUCAACUAAGGCAGUAACCGAGCGUGACAGGCCCCUCAAAGAGAGCGUAGCGGUGAGCUGGAGCCGAUUAGAGGAGUCGUGAGACAUGUGGCUUACCAGGAGUGCCUUUACUGGCGAGCCAGGACGCACCGGGCAGCCACGCAGAAAAUGGCCACUUUUCCCACAGUAAAUACAUAGGCGGGUGUCAUACCUGCGUGUGCGCUCCUCCUGAGACAGCCUGGCGCGCCCCAGUUGUACUCGCUCGGCGUCUACAGUAGGGGGCGAAAUCGCGGGUGGAACGUGUGUGGCCUGGGCAGGAAGUGGAGCAGGCCGCGGGAAGAUGGCUGAGCGAGGAGGAAGGGGGGUCGGCUGUUCGAGCUGCUGUCGCUGACGUUCACGCAAACGCGCGUCAAUUUUGAUGCAAAGUUUGAUGACUCCAUCCAAAGAAGACUGUUCAUCGCGGGCGGCCAAUUCAUCUUUAAGGCGCUCAUUAAGAGCGCGGAUGAACACUUCUUGCAGCGCCUCGUCAUUGAAACGGCUUUCUGCCGCUAACGUCCGGAAUUCUACCGCGAACUCGGCGACGCUCCGAGUCCCCUGGCGAGCGGACAUGAGCCGCUUGGCUGCUUCCUUUCCACGGACUGGAUGGUCAAAGACCUUUCUCAUCUCCUCGGUGAAACGGGAGUAUGUAACACACACGGACGAGUCAUUUUCCCAUAAUGAGGAAGCCCAAUCAAGCGCGGCGCCCCGCAAACAAGCUAUCAGUAGAAGCUCCCAGAAUCUUCGGGGCGUAUGGAGUUGAAAACGUAAUUUCUUUCUGAAGACCCGAGCAUAGUUUGGCCCUUGUACCAGGUGAAGCUAGCAGCUGGGUUAGCGUCACUGCUGCAGUCUGGAUUUCGCACCACAGCACCGAAAACUGUGCUGAUGAAGGUCCUAAAUGAUAUUCAUCGGAAUAAUGACACCUCUAUCAUCUAUUCGGGGAUUACUACAAGUAGAUCUCAGUGCUGCAUUUGGCACAGUUGAUCAUACCGUACUACUCAGCAGAUUGGAACAGUGAGUAGGCCUCGCUGACAUUGUGUUUCAACAUUUUAAAAACAAGUUGUAAGACGUAAAAUAUAUUAUUAUUACUUAAUGUUAUUAUUUUCAAAUUAAAAAAAAAAAAGACAUUUUAAUUUGGCUGGUUCGGUGACUGUUGACUUAAUACGUCUCCUCAUUGUUCUUGUAAUGGUGUGGAGAUUGAAUUAAGUUAAAAAAAAAAAAAAAAUCAAUUACAUUUUUCAUACAUUUCAGGUGCAAGAAAACCUUUAAAAAAAAAAAAAAGAAACUUUUCUUGAGUUUUGAGAUUUACUUGACUAGUCCUGACUUCCAUAUUGGCUUUGGUACUGACACUUGACGUUCAUGUUGAUUUUGGGACUCACAUUGAACGUCUAUGAACACCGGGACAGAGGUGACGUCUCCAUGUUUAUUGUGGGCUUUGCAGUAGAAGCUCCCAGAAUCUUCGGGGCGUAUGGAGUUGAAAACGUAAUUUCUUCCUGAAGACCUGAUCCUAGUUUGGCCCUUGUACCAGGUGAAGCUAGCAGCUGGGUUAGCGUCACUGCUGCAGGUAAGUUUCACUUGAUUUCCCUCCGCAAUGACGUUUAAUGGAUCCACCCGCAAAUAAAGGUACUUUGGAGCAUCUGAAGAACACAACAUUGGCAUCAUUACAGAGUUGAUCAUUUGUGUCCUAAACAUGUUUGGUUGACUUCUGUUUAUCGCAGCAGAUAUGUUGUUUAGUCGUUAGAUUUCACAAUUCACAGUUGGACACUGUGCUGUACUCACAUUUUACAUCAAUUAUGAAAGGUUGCGACAUCUUCUGCCCCAGAUCAUUCUCCACGACACAACAAUACACAGCUAAAUCUGAAGACUGGAUGGAGCUGAAGAACAGAUAUUCUCCAUAACUCAUGACCUCCCAGUCUGAAGUUCCAGUCUUCUUGCACCAGCGGUGUCCUGAUGAUGUUGGGGUGUCAGCUCUGCAGAUUCACCAAGAAGAAUUAAUGUUCAAAGAUUCUACCAAAUUCAACCUUCGAGAUGCCAUGGACUUCUGAUAUAUAGUUGAGGCAUAUAUUCGGCUGAAGUCUACCCACGCCACUCAAUUGCAAUUCAAAGAACAGUUCGGAUGUUGUGAAUUUCCAGUCCGCUCAAUCACCUUCAGAUGGGUCAACAAGUUCGCAACCCAUGGAACUGUGCAUAACCUCAAUGGUCAAGACACUAACAGACGAUUACACUCUGGAUGACCGCGGGGGUCAUAAAGAACUUUGCCCGCCGCAUCCAAAUGUGCCUGCAGUGCCAGGGAGCUGAUUUGGAGCACACUUUUAGAGCCCCAAACAGAGUUUUUGUAGAACAUACCUGAAACUUUGGAGAUGUCUGCUACAUAGGGAUGACCUAACGUAGCUCAAGUUUUGUGUCGAUCUAAAUAAAAUCUUGAGAAGUCUGCUACAUAUGCUCGAAUUACUUGGGUAUAUACUCUCCAGGCCCUUCUAAGGGUGCUGAUGUUUAAUUUUAUUCAUCGUUUGAAAUGUUCUUAACAUGUGAUUGUCUGGGGCCUGACUAACAUUUUGCACAGUUCCAUACGCUGCAUGUCACUGUUCUGGAAGCACUGGUAUAGGUGCCUUUUAAAAGUGGGUCAAUAGAUGACCUAAUUUUUGUAUCAGUGUAGUUUACGGUCUUUUAUUGUUAUUUUGUUUUUAGUUUUGCAUGGUUCGUUCCCUUGUAUUGUAUGGUUGUGGCUUGGACCUUGAGUCUGUUAAUAAAUCUAUCCAUCUAGCUAUCUAUUGAAAAACU
Long non-coding RNA from Corythoichthys intestinalis (scribbled pipefish), 6453 nucleotides. RefSeq lists it as uncharacterized. The record is from RefSeq and is a predicted model, not a curated record. NCBI's taxonomy places the organism in Eukaryota, Metazoa, Chordata, Actinopteri, Syngnathiformes, Syngnathidae. The transcript is spliced from 4 exons.